Molecule: ribosomal RNA, 225 nt
Filed under: uncultured bacterium
Lineage: Bacteria
Description: partial 16S ribosomal RNA
Rfam family: Bacterial small subunit ribosomal RNA
Source: RNAcentral
UGGGGAAUAUUGCACAAUGGGCGAAAGCCUGAUGCAGCAACGCCGCGUGAGUGAUGAAGGUCUUCGGAUUGUAAAGCUCUGUCUUUUGGGACGAUAAUGACGGUACCAAAGGAGGAAGCCACGGCUAACUACGUGCCAGCAGCCGCGGUAAUACGUAGGUGCGAGCGUUGUCCGGAUUUACUGGGCGUAAAGGGUGCGUAGGCGGAUGUUUAAGUGAGAUGUGAA